RNAcentral lists this ribosomal RNA (477 nucleotides) under uncultured anaerobic ammonium-oxidizing bacterium. RNAcentral's name for it is "bacterial SSU rRNA". It matches the Rfam family "Bacterial small subunit ribosomal RNA", at positions 363 to 830 of the family's 1533-position model. The record is from RNAcentral.
UUUUCGCAAUGCCCGAAAGGGUGACGAAGCGACGCCGCGUGGGUGAGGAAGGCCUUCGGGUUGUAAAGCCCUGUCAGGAGUUAAGAAAUGUAAGUGCGCUAAUAUCGCAUUUAUUUGACGAAGGCUCCAAAGGAAGCCACGGCUAACUCUGUGCCAGCAGCCGCGGUAAUACAGAGGUGGCAAGCGUUGUUCGGGAUUAUUGGGCGUAAAGAGCACGUAGGUGGGUUUGUAAGUCAGAUGCGAAAGCCUUCUGUUCAACGGAAGAAUUGCAUCUGAAACUACAAGUCUUGAGUGUAGGAGGGGAGAAUGGAACUUCUGGUGGAGCGGUGAAAUGCGUAGAUAUCAGAAGGAACGCCGGCGGCGAAAGCGAUUCUCUGGCCUAUUACUGACACUCAGUGUGCGAAAGCUAGGGGAGCAAACGGGAUUAGAUACCCCGGUAGUCCUAGCCGUAAACGAUGGGCACUAAGUAGAGGGGUU